This 253-nucleotide ribosomal RNA is filed under the name uncultured bacterium. Its description in RNAcentral is "partial 16S ribosomal RNA". It matches the Rfam family "Bacterial small subunit ribosomal RNA", at positions 524 to 776 of the family's 1533-position model. The record is from RNAcentral.
UACAGAGGUCUCAAGCGUUGUUCGGAUUCAUUGGGCGUAAAGGGCGCGUAGGCGGCUUGUUUAGUCGGGUGUGAAAUCCCGGGGCUCAACCCCGGAACUGCAUUCGAUACUGGCAGGCUAGAGACCGGAAGAGGUGGGUGGAAUACCCAGUGUAGAGGUGAAAUUCGUAGAUAUUGGGUGGAACACCGGUGGCGAAGGCGACUCUUUGGCCUGUAACUGACGCUGAGGCGCGAAAGCGUGGGGAGCAAACAGG